AGGACGAACGCUGGUGGCGUGCUUAACACAUGCAAGUCGAGCGGAAAGGCCCUUCGGGGUACUCGAGCGGCGAACGGGUGAGUAACACGUGAGUAAUCUGCCCCUAGCUCUGGGAUAGCUCCGGGAAACCGGGAUUAAUACCGGAUACGACCACCUUAGACAUCUUUUGUGGUGGAAAGAAUUUCGGCUAGGGAUGAGCUCGCGGCCUAUCAGCUUGUUGGUGGGGUAACGGCCUACCAAGGCGACGACGGGUA
RNAcentral lists this ribosomal RNA (254 nucleotides) under uncultured bacterium. RNAcentral's name for it is "partial small subunit ribosomal RNA". It matches the Rfam family "Bacterial small subunit ribosomal RNA", at positions 26 to 285 of the family's 1533-position model. The record is from RNAcentral.